Molecule: ribosomal RNA, 405 nt
Filed under: uncultured bacterium
Lineage: Bacteria
Description: bacterial SSU rRNA
Rfam family: Bacterial small subunit ribosomal RNA
Source: RNAcentral
UGGGGGAUAUUGCACAAUGGGGGAAACCCUGAUGCAGCAAUGCCGCGUGAGGGAAGAAGGCCUUCGGGUUGUAAACCUAAGUUGUCAGGGACGAACUAUGACGGUACCUGAAGAGAAAGCUCCGGCUAACUACGUGCCAGCAGCCGCGGUAAUACGUAGGGAGCGAGCGUUGUCCGGAUUUACUGGGUGUAAAGGGUGCGUAGGCGGGUUUGCAAGUCAGACGUGAAAUGCCGGGGCUUAACUCCGGAGCUGCGUUUGAAACUGUAGAUCUUGAGUGAAGUAGAGGCAGGCGGAAUUCCUAGUGUAGCGGUGAAAUGCGUAGAUAUUAGGAGGAACACCAGUGGCGAAGGCGGCCUGCUGGGCUUUAACUGACGCUGAGGCACGAAAGCAUGGGGAGCAAACAGG